Molecule: long non-coding RNA, 3463 nt
Organism: Sparus aurata (gilthead seabream)
Lineage: Eukaryota; Metazoa; Chordata; Actinopteri; Spariformes; Sparidae
Source: Ensembl
AAAAUGAAGAUCCAGAUUCUCCUGCUGGCCUGUGCUUUUGUGGCUGCGAUCAAUGCCACACCAUCAGCAGAUGAUUCUGCUAAACCCAAAGCCAUCAAUGAUGAGGUUAAAGCUGAUGUGCCAAAGCCAAAUCUGGAUGCCUCCGGAGUGAAUGAGCCCAACAUGGAGGACGACUUAGAAGAUGAUGAGCCCGACAUGGACGAGGAUCCCGAAGAUGAUGAGCCCGACAUGGACAAGGAUUCCGAGGAUGAUGAGCCCGACAUGGAUGAGGAUUCCGAGGAUGAUGAGCCCGACAUGGACGAGGAUUCCGAAGAUGAUGAGCCCGACAUGGACGAGGAUUCUGAAGAUGAUGAGUCCGAGAAGAAAGAUGAGCCCAAGAAAGAUGAGGCUGAGCCUAAGCCUCUUAAGUAAACACCUGAAAUAGCUGAAUCCCUCACAACACCUUGCCUAUAAGUCACAAGUAUACAUAAUUUCUUCUCAUACCUUUCCAAUAAUUUAUGCAUGAAAAACUGCAUGCCGGACACAAAAUAUACUCUAAAAGACUUUUGGAUCUGAGUUGGAUCGUCAUCUGGUCAAAAUGCUUUCUCUGUAAUAUCUUUUUACACACAUUUUGUUCUUUGAAGUCAGUUUGCAGCCAUUACUUUCGACACUGAUACUUCUUAACCUUGCACCUAUAUGUCUUGUGUGAAUAUCUGCACGCCUUAAAUUGUACGUAAAUUCUUUGUACUAUAGGAGCAAAAAGAGAUAACACAGCAAAUUGAAAAAAAUUGUGCAUGUGAGUGAGUGAAUGAUAGUAGUCAAGUAGUCAGCUCUCUGACUAACAUCUAAUCUUCAGCAUCACGGGUGUCGACAUGAUAACCACAUCAUGAUAACGUAUUAAAACCAGCUGAGGCUAUGUCUUACAGUGAUGGGAUCAAAUAAAUGCUUUUUACGGGCUGAAAUGAAAUAUUUGCCUGAGUGUCAUUAUUAGUAUUUUCUUGUGUUUUUUACUUUUUUGUGUGUUUGUCUGUGUGAGUAUUAUUACAUCCAAAACCCCUAAAAUGUAGCAUUUUCUGUGGCUUCGCUAUAUUUUGAUUCCCACAACCCUGAAAUUUAUCCAAAAUGUAUUCUAAAAGGUGUCCAUUAAAUUAAACAUAUACAGUGCUGUGAAAAAGUAUUUGCCCCCUUACAGAUUUAUUUUGUUUUUGCUUUUUUGUCACACUUGCAUGUUUCAGAUCAUCAAAGAAAUGUCAUUAUCAGAUAUAGAUUACCUGAGAAAAUACAAAAUACAGUUUUUAAAUGACAAUUUCAUUUAUUAAGGGAAAUAAACUAUCCAAACCAACCUGGCCCUGUGUGAAAAAGUGAUUGCCCCCUAAAUCUAAUAACUGGUUGUGCCACCCUUUGGCAGCAACUACUGCAAUCAAGCAUUUACACGUGAUUCCUAGGAACUAAAACUGUUCCACCUCAGCUCCACUGAUGUAGACAGGGAAGUGUGUCUUUGAUUCCAUUUUGUAAAAAUCAACAAUCGGCUCUGUGGUUUUUGCCGCUGUUGAACGUUGCUCUCUGUGCACCAGUCUGCAUGAUUGUUGAUUUCCUCCCGAUAGGAACUCUCAUCCUUGUUUGUAAUGUUGCCAACGAUGGUGGUGUCAUCCGUGUACUUCACUAUAAAGUUCUCUUGAUGCCUGGGAGUGCAAUCGUGGGUGUACAGUGUAAACAGUAGGGAGGUGCACACACAGCCCGGGGGGCUCCAGGGCUGAGUGCUAGAGUAAAGGAGGUCUGGCUGCCAAUCCAUACUUUCUGGGUUCUACUUGUGAGGAAGUCUAAAUAUCCAUUUGCAAAGAAUAGCAGUCAAGCCCAGUGUCUGAAGUUUUCCAAUCAGCCUCAUGGGUGAGCUUGUAUUCAAUGCUGAGCUAAAGUCAACAAACAGCAUUCUGAUGUAGCUGCUUUUAUUUUAAAGUUGUGUGAAAACUGAGUGGAGGGCAGUGGAUAUGGCAUCCUCUGUGGAUCUGCUGGUUCUGAAAGCAUACAGGUGAGGGUUCAGGCUGGCAGGGAAGUUGUCUUUGAUAAGUUGGAGAACCAGUUUCUCACAGCACUUCAUCAGGGUGGGGGUGAGAGCCACAGGACAGUAGUCAUUAAGAGUAGACACUGCAGACUUCUUCGGUACAGGGAGUAUGGUGGCUGUCCUGAGGAAGGUCGGGACAGUCUCCUUUGAGAGUGACAUGUUAAAAAUGUCAGUAAUAACAUGAGCUUGCUGAUUGGCAGAUGUGAGUCUUCUCACAUCCGCUGUGGUUAGUAACAGCAUCCUGUCCUCCUGAGGCAAAGUAUACUUUAUGUCUUUGUUGAGAAAUAAGCAAGCAUAAAAUGUGUGUAGCUCAUGUGGCCUCAAACAUGAUUGAGCGCUCCUCCUUAUGUAGGCUGUGUCACGUAACUCUGUGCACCAGGUUAUGUUGCUUCUAUUACCCAGCCGAUGUCCAUCAAAUCUGAUUGGAACAAACGCCUACAGACUCCCUAUGAAGUAGGUUUUUUUUUCCAAACACUAUCUUUGAUUGUUGCUUCCCGACACAGGAUAGUUUAUUGUCAAAUACUAAAAACCUUGGGUUGGCUACUUGGAGUUAAUGUCAGUAUUUGAAGGCCUCGGGAUAAGACUUCACAAUCAACUGUCUUCGUCCAGGGAGUUACAUUGUGAUCCUUUAUCGUAGGGGACAUGGAGAUAAAUAAAAAAACAAAUAACUUAAGCCUGAUCUUGCAAUAAUUUAAAUAACAUGGGAAAUCGAUUCGCUUUGGUUUUGAAAUGAUAUACACAAAUAUACAAACAUUACAUUUAAUUGAUCAGCAUUUUUUAAUGUCCUGACCACUGGCUAUGUUGUUGUCGUGAACUGAAUCUGAUCAAAGUCAAGACAAAAUUUGCCAAAUUUUUGGUCUAUAUCACAAUACAUGAUAUAUAUCUGAAUAUGUUGACCUCACCUCAGAAGGACUUCAUAAAAGGUGCGACUGGGCGACAAAAUCAAAUAUCACAAUAUCACAUUGAUAUUGCAGCAUCUUUGUGCGAAUGACUGUUGGUACUUUUAUGAAAUACAAACACAAUGACAUUUGCAUUGGAUCAUUUUUUUCACAGACCAGCAUAACGUGGUGACUUUUCAUUGGAUGAGCUUUGUACUGAACAAACAUUCUUAGCUCAGAAGUACAUAUAUAUUGAAGGUGCAUCAGUUGGAAAGUCAAAACAUUCCUGACUUGAGUUGAAGUUCUGUGGACCUGAGAGCUACUGAAAACUGAAGGUAAAUACAGCACCUUUGUUUUACUCUUUAUUCAGACCCACAGACUGAACAGCAUCUGUUGCUAACUACUCACGGACCAUUUCACAGUAUUUUUGUACAUUUUGAUGUUUCCUUUCAGAAAAUGAAGAUCCAGAUUCUCCUGCUGGCCUGUGCUUUUGUGGCUGCGAUCAGUGCCGCACCAACAGCAGAUGAUUCUGCUAAACCCAAAG